Molecule: non-coding RNA, 27 nt
Filed under: Rattus norvegicus (Norway rat)
Lineage: Eukaryota; Metazoa; Chordata; Mammalia; Rodentia; Muridae
Source: RNAcentral
UAGAAACAGAGUCACUACACGGGAGUC